CCUACGGGUGGCAGCAGUAGGGAAUAUUGCUCAAUGGGGGAAACCCUGAAGCAGCAACGCCGCGUGGAGGAUGAAGGUUUUAGGAUUGUAAACUCCUUUUGUUAGAGAAGAUAAUGACGGUAUCUAACGAAUAAGCACCGGCUAACUCCGUGCCAGCAGCCGCGGUAAUACGGAGGGUGCCAGCGUUACUCGGAAUCACUGGGCGUAAAGGGCGCGUAGGCGGGAUAGCAAGUCAGAUGUGAAAUCCUAUGGCUUAACCAUAGAACUGCAUUUGAAACUGUUAGUCUAGAGUAUGGGAGAGGUAGGUGGAAUUCUUGGUGUAGCGGUAAAAUCCGUAGAGAUCAAGAGGAAUACUCAUUGCGAAGGCGACCUGCUAGAACAUAACUGACGCUGAUGCGCGAAAGCGUGGGGAGCAAACAGGAUUAGAUACCCUAGUAGUC
Molecule: ribosomal RNA, 440 nt
Filed under: uncultured bacterium
Lineage: Bacteria
Description: partial 16S ribosomal RNA
Rfam family: Bacterial small subunit ribosomal RNA
Source: RNAcentral